Molecule: long non-coding RNA, 1598 nt
Organism: Phyllostomus hastatus (greater spear-nosed bat)
Lineage: Eukaryota; Metazoa; Chordata; Mammalia; Chiroptera; Phyllostomidae
Exons: 6
Source: RefSeq, a predicted model, not a curated record
CCAAACGGAACUGCUAUCUUCACUUCUACCACCACGGAUUAGUUCUGUAAGGCAAAUUUGGAACUUCUCUUUGCCUCAGUUUCCUCAUCUGUAAAUUGGUGAUAAUAUCUGUCUCAUAAACUAGCUGUACAAUGAAAUGCCAGGCACUGGGCUAAGCAUCUGUGACCUUGUUUAAUCCUCCAUGUAACCGGAUGGGGGAGGUAUUAUCUUGGCUCUACAGAGGUUAAGCAAUCUGUUCACACUGGGAUUCGUGCCAGGCCUGCCUGGAGCCUGUACUCGUAGAGGCCUGACCCUCAUCUAAUUGAUCCGAAUUCCCUGAAAGACUGGAAACCUAAUAUUCAGAGUGCUGCCAGGAAGAAGCCCGGGAUUCUGAACUGCCUUCGGCCAGAGAGAACUGCCCGCUUCAUCCUGCAGCAGCCUUCCGUCUGAGGUCUCGCCUUUGCCAGCCUGUGUGAGAAAUUACUCCGAGACCACAAUCUUCCGUGGGCAUCCCACGUCCCUGCGGAUUCCGUCUCCCAAGGCCCUGCUUAGCCAGAGACCACAGACACCAAACACUGCUGCCCCGGGUGCCACAUUCUCCCUUGCCUCCUUCUUCUGAUGGAACUCUGGCCCCUCCUUCCCAUGUGGGGACCACCUGCAGGAAGGCCGCCCCAAUCCCUGCAUCGCUCUCAUGUCCAGCUGCCCAGCAGACAUCACUGCCCAGGCUGGUCACUCGUGGAUCUGUUCAUCUCCGGCACUUUGCACAGGGAUUGUAUAUGCUCAACAGAUGGUGGUGGAAUGGACGCACACCCCCCCAUCCAAAAAUCUGGUAAAACUGCACUCACUUUGUGAGUGUGCCGUGAAGAAGAGCUGCGUUCCUGAAGCAUCAUUACCAGUGACUGCAGUCAGAUUUGAAAAAUGGAUCCUGGCGGCAAGCCACCCUUCCCAGCUGUCUGACCACACCAACCAGCCAAUCAAGGCUCAAAGGAAGUCAGAAGCAGAGGAAUCUGUUUUUGGAUCAUCCAGUACAACUCCUUCUCUUGAGACGCAGAGGCGGCGUCGGAGACAGGAAACACGCCGAAGGGCGCGCAGCAGACGGAAAGGGCCCAGGCACACGGCUGCCCCCCCGCUGCCCUUACCCUCUGCACCUCGUACCACCUCUCCAUGAAGGACAGCGUGUUUAACGUUCCAUAGGAUGCAAUGAAGAAACAGGUACUAAAUUGGCAGAAAUCACAUGCAUAUAAAUCUGACAUUCUCCCUGGAAAGAGAAAAAGCGCAGCUCAAGAAAGAAUGUGUGAGCUGGAAGGUCUGCGCGAGGCCUCUGUCCAAACCCUCCAAUCAGUUUACAUGUGGGGAGAAGACGCCACCAAACCAAUUCUCCCAGGGAAGGACAAACUGUCAGAAUUACUGCUAAGACUUUGCAAAUAGGGAAAGUGGAAUGGGAAGAGAUUGCUCCCUUGGUCUUCCUCUCUUCACCAGCUUCCUGCCAGGGGAAACUCAGCGCCAUACUGCCUGAAGUGCACGAAGCUGAGCGUCACAGGGCGUUUAACAGGCACCUGCUUUCAGCAGUGGAUGCAGGCUGGCGGGCUGCAGGGACCAGGGCAGCCCCGGGAGUGGGG